RNAcentral lists this long non-coding RNA (1355 nucleotides) under Mus musculus (house mouse). Its description in RNAcentral is "long non-coding RNA chr10:15309753-15311108". The record is from RNAcentral. Lineage: Eukaryota; Metazoa; Chordata; Mammalia; Rodentia; Muridae.
UUGUUAGUUCAUAAUGAUUUUCAUUUACUUUGUAGUGAGAAAACACACUUUCAUAUGCCAAAAUGAAAUGAUAAUGUCGAUUUCCCAUCGUGUGUGUUGUGUCUAUGUGUAUGUUUUUGAGUGUGUAUCUGUGUUUCCAUGCGUAUACAUUUGUGUUUGUGUUCAUGUUUGUCUAUAUGUAUGUGUUUUUGUGUUUCUAUGUCAAUGUGUAUGUGUUUUGUGUGUCUAUAUGUAUGUGUUUGUGUGUAUGUGUGUGUGUGUAUUAUGUAUGUCUUUGUGUAUGUGAGUUUAUAUGUAAUGUGUCUGUAUCUAUAUGUGUGUUUGUGUAUGUUUGUGUUUGUGUGUGUCUAAUGUGUAUCUGUACCUCUGUGUGUGUGUAUGUGUGUGUGUGUGCGUGUGCUGUGUGAUAUAUACAUGUCUCCACACAGGCUGGGGAGGAGAAUGCUGGGAUAAUAUUUUUUACUCUCUAUCUUAUUCUCUGGAGAGAUGGACUCUCACUGACCCUCGUCCUCCUGUUCCAUGUCAGGCUGGCUUCCGAGAGGGCUUCUAUGAACUUGUUUUCUCUGCUGCUUUAUUUCCUCAGCAUCAAAGCUACAGGCUCUUGUGAACUCUGUUGUUGUGGAUCUGAACGUAGAGUCUCAAGCUUUUCUCUCAGAUAUUCUCAUCCAUGAGACAUCUCCCCAUCUCCAGUGUUCAACGUCCAACAUUUCAACAUAAUUGCUUACUCAAUUUAAAAAGCAUGAAAAUCAUAUUAUUGCCUAUUUUCCUCUUUUAUUUAUCCUGAAAUUAUACCAUUGUAGAGAAAAUAGUAUUUUAAGGAUUAUUAAAUACAUCUAUACAUAUGUGGACAGGAUCACAUUAAAUGAAAAAUACACAAGUAAUAGUUAACUUUUUAGAAAACUCAUUUAUACAUAGUUUACUGAUAACUGUAUAUUAUUAAUAAACCCAUAUUAGGAAGCUGAAAAAUGAUGGACAAGGAAAGUCGAGAAAGAGGAAGACAUUAACUGAGCGUCCUGUCCACACAGCUGCCAGGAAGGGUUUCAUCAUCAUCCUGGCACACAGGAGUAAGUUCCCAAGUCCUAUCAGGAGCCAUGUGAGUGGAUAUCUUCAAAGAGCACAUUGGAUACAACCUGGUAUCUCAGUGUCAGGACUAUAAAAGUAUGACAAUUUUUUCAAAGCAAUGAUUUGUAAUUACUAGAAUAUUGUCUUACAGUGACACAUGUAAGCAUGCUUUAAAAUGCAUACAAGUUUCAAUAAAGACCAAAGCUUUGCUAACACAAUAGAAGAAGAAGUCUUACAGUCUGCCUCCACUGCCUUUUGUGUGUACCAUGAGCAAGUCUUUCCCUUUUUGGAAA